This 521-nucleotide ribosomal RNA is filed under the name uncultured Glomeraceae. RNAcentral's name for it is "SSU rRNA". It matches the Rfam family "Eukaryotic small subunit ribosomal RNA", at positions 569 to 1092 of the family's 1831-position model. Lineage: Eukaryota; Fungi; Glomeromycota; Glomeromycetes; Glomerales; Glomeraceae. The record is from RNAcentral.
AGCAGCCGCGGUAAUUCCAGCUCCAAUAGCGUAUAUUAAAGUUGUUGCAGUUAAAAAGCUCGUAGUUGAAUUUCGGGAUCAGUUGGUCGGUCGUGCCUCGGUACGUACUGGUCAAAUUGAUUCCUACCUUCUGACGAACCACGAUGUCAUUAAUUUGGUGUCGCGGGAAAUCAGGACUGUUACUUUGAAAAAAUUAGAGUGUUUAAAGCAGGCUCGCGCUUGAAUACAUUAGCAUGGAAUAAUGAAAUAGGAUGUUUGAUUCUAUUUUGUUGGUUUCUAGGAUCGACGUAAUGAUUAAUAGGGAUAGUUGGGGGCAUUAGUAUUCAAUUGUCAGAGGUGAAAUUCUUGGAUUUAUUGAAGACUAACUACUGCGAAAGCAUUUGCCAAGGAUGUUUUCAUUAAUCAAGAACGAAAGUUAGGGGAUCGAAGACGAUCAGAUACCGUCGUAGUCUUAACCAUAAACUAUGCCGACUAGGGAUCGGAUGAUGUUAAUUUUUUAAUGACUCAUUCGGCGCCUUACG